This 433-nucleotide ribosomal RNA is filed under the name uncultured bacterium. RNAcentral describes it as "partial 16S ribosomal RNA". It matches the Rfam family "Bacterial small subunit ribosomal RNA", at positions 29 to 507 of the family's 1533-position model. The record is from RNAcentral.
AACGAACGCUGGCGGCAUGCCUAACACAUGCAAGUCGAACGAGACCUUCGGUUCUAGUGGCGCACGGGUGCGUAACGCGUGGGAACCUGCCCUUAGGUUCGGAAUAACUCCCCGAAAGGGGUGCUAAUACCGGAUAAUGUCUUCGGACCAAAGAUUUAUCGCCUUUGGAUGGGCCCGCGUUGGAUUAGCUAGUUGGUAGGGUAAAAGCCUACCAAGGCGACGAUCCAUAGCUGGUCUGAGAGGAUGAUCAGCCACACUGGGACUGAGACACGGCCCAGACUCCUACGGGAGGCAGCAGUGGGGAAUAUUGGACAAUGGGCGAAAGCCUGAUCCAGCUAUGCCGCGUGAGUGAUGAAGGCCUUAGGGUUGUAAAGCUCUUUUACCCGGGAUGAUAAUGACAGUACCGGGAGAAUAAGCUCCGGCUAACUCCGUG